Molecule: ribosomal RNA, 253 nt
Filed under: uncultured bacterium
Lineage: Bacteria
Description: partial 16S ribosomal RNA
Rfam family: Archaeal small subunit ribosomal RNA
Source: RNAcentral
UACCAGCACCCCGAGUGGUCGGGACGUUUAUUGGGCCUAAAGCAUCCGUAGCCGGUUCUACAAGUCUUCCGUUAAAUCCAACUGCUUAACAGGUGGGCUGCGGAAGAUACUAUAGAGCUAGGAGGCGGGAGAGGCAAGCGGUACUCGAUGGGUAGGGGUAAAAUCCGUUGAUCCAUUGAAGACCACCAGUGGCGAAGGCGGCUUGCUGGGAUACACCUGACGCUGAGACACGAAGGCGUGGGGAGCGAACGGG